Molecule: ribosomal RNA, 454 nt
Filed under: uncultured bacterium
Lineage: Bacteria
Description: bacterial SSU rRNA
Rfam family: Bacterial small subunit ribosomal RNA
Source: RNAcentral
UACGGAAGGCAGCAGUGGGGAAUAUUGCACAAUGGGCGCAAGCCUGAUGCAGCCAUGCCGCGUGUAUGAAGAAGGCCUUCGGGUUGUAAAGUACUUUCAGUCGUGAGGAAGGUGUUAAGGUUAAUAACCUUAGCAAUUGACGUUAGCGACAGAAGAAGCACCGGCUAACUCCGUGCCAGCAGCCGCGGUAAUACGGAGGGUGCGAGCGUUAAUCGGAAUUACUGGGCGUAAAGGGCACGCAGGCGGUUAAUUAAGUUGGAUGUGAAAUCCCCGGGCUUAACCUGGGAAUGGCAUUCAAGACUGGUUUAGCUAGAGUCUUGUAGAGGGGGUAGAAUUCCAUGUGUAGCGGUGAAAUGCGUAGAGAUGUGGAGGAAUACCGGUGGCGAAGGCGGCCCCUGGACAAAGACUGACGCUCAUGUGCGAAAGCGUGGGGAGCAAACAGGGAUUAGAUACC